Molecule: small RNA, 101 nt
Filed under: Xenorhabdus japonica
Lineage: Bacteria; Pseudomonadati; Pseudomonadota; Gammaproteobacteria; Enterobacterales; Morganellaceae
Description: Salmonella enterica Typhi npcRNA 44
Rfam family: Salmonella enterica Typhi npcRNA 44
Source: RNAcentral
CUUUAACAAUCCGGAACAAGCUGAAAAUUUGAAACAAUCAGUGUUAUUGCAUAAUGACAUUGAUGAGUCUCUCAAUGACUCCAGUCCGAAGACACCUUCGG